Molecule: ribosomal RNA, 401 nt
Filed under: Hominimerdicola alba
Lineage: Bacteria; Bacillati; Bacillota; Clostridia; Eubacteriales; Oscillospiraceae
Description: bacterial SSU rRNA
Rfam family: Bacterial small subunit ribosomal RNA
Source: RNAcentral
UGUCCAGGUAGGGGGGGCCUACCUUUGCAAGUCGGAACGGUAGCACAGAGAGCUUGCUCUCGGGUGACGAGUGGCGGACGGGUGAGUAAUGUCUGGGAAACUGCCUGAUGGAGGGGGAUAACUACUGGAAACGGCAGCUAAUACCGCAUAACGUCGCAAGACCAAUGAGGGGGACCUUCGGGCCUCUUGCCAUCACAUGUGCCCAGAUGGGAUUAGCUGGUAGGCGGGGUAAUGGCCCACCUAGGCGACUAUCCCUAGCUGGUCUGACAGGAUGACCAGCCACACUGGAACUGUUUACAUGUUUCACACUCCUACGGGAUCCCCAAGCGGGGAAUUUUAAUCAAUUACCUCCUGCCUGAUAAACACAUGAUGUUAUCCACCCCUAAGCUCCACCGUUUACG